RNAcentral lists this transfer-messenger RNA (347 nucleotides) under Nitrospirota bacterium. It matches the Rfam family "transfer-messenger RNA". From Rfam's summary of the family: Bacterial tmRNA, also known as 10Sa RNA or SsrA, is named for its dual tRNA and mRNA-like properties. Its role is to liberate the mRNA from a stalled ribosome. To accomplish this part of the tmRNA is used as a reading frame that ends in a translation stop signal. Lineage: Bacteria; Pseudomonadati; Nitrospirota. The record is from RNAcentral.
GGGGGCGACAGGUCUCGACGGGGGUUAUGAGGUCCCGGUUGCAUGCCGUGGCGCUGUCACCACGUAAAAAGACGGCAAAAAACACAAAAGCCAACACAGAACUGGCACUCGCAGCUUAAUAAAGCUGUGCGCUUCCCCGGCAACACCUGCUAGCCGGCAAGAGGCGUCAACCAGCAGGCUGGUCUGAAGAGGCCGCCCUUGAUCUUCAGGCGAGAUUAAAAGGGAUUGGAUACGGAAAAGCAUUCUUGCCGGCGUUUCCGUUUCUGAAAUUCAAAAGGUGAGAUAAGCAUGUAGACGCCUGGAAGUAGUACUUCCGGACCCGGGUUCGAUUCCCGGCGCCUCCACCA